GCCGCCGUUGGGAAUUUUGGACCAUGGGCGCAAGCCUGAUCCCGCCAUUCCGGGUGAGUGAAGAAGGCCUUUGGGUUGUAAAGGUAUUUUGCAAGGGAAGAAAAACUACGCUGUCACUUCGCGUGAGUAUGACGGUACCUUUAUAAGAAGCACCGGCUAACUACGUGCCAGCAGCCGCGGUAAUACGUAGGGUGCGAGCGUUAAUCGGAAUUACUGGGCGUAAAGCGUGCGCAGGCGGUUUUGUAAGUCAGAUGUGAAAUCCCCGAGCUCAACUUGGGAACUGCGUUUGAAACUACAAGACUAGAAUAUGUCAGAGGGGGGUGGAAUUUCAGGUGUAGCAGUGAAAUGCGUAGAGUGGGAGGAACACCAAUGGCGAAGGCAGCCCCCUGGGAUAAUAUUGACGCUCAUGCACGAAAGCGUGGGGAGCAAACAGGAUU
Molecule: ribosomal RNA, 437 nt
Filed under: uncultured bacterium
Lineage: Bacteria
Description: bacterial SSU rRNA
Rfam family: Bacterial small subunit ribosomal RNA
Source: RNAcentral